AAGUGGUUGAUUUAUAAUUUAUUAUUGAUUAAUAUCUAUUAUAACUGGUUCGGACUCUUAAUCCGUCGGUCGAGAGUUCGAGCCUCUCACAACCUACCA
RNAcentral lists this transfer RNA (99 nucleotides) under Haemophilus influenzae F3047. Its description in RNAcentral is "tRNA-Und (NNN) (tRNA-Und-NNN-2-1)". The record is from RNAcentral. Lineage: Bacteria; Pseudomonadati; Pseudomonadota; Gammaproteobacteria; Pasteurellales; Pasteurellaceae.